GGGGGCAGCAAGCUGUUCUAUUUUUUCAGUUAUUUUAUUGUGUUGUUUGUACAGAAUAAUUUCCAGCCAAAAUCUGUAGAGCAGUUUUUCAUUUUUGCUAUAAUUUUUUGUUCAUUCUCCAGGACUGUCUGUUCUUUCAGUCCCCACCUCCUGCCGGCGUAGGAGGGAAAUCUGUUCCUUUCUCUAUAAUUGCCCCACUGGCUUCUAUAUUUGGAUCUAUGUCCUCUGUCCUCUCCUCUCACUCGCUGUCGCUCUCUUGCUGUUUUGUCACUGUUAUUGAUUCACAUUCUCGCUCCGCUGCAAAGCAAAACCAGCCAGAAUCGGUGCAAGGAAGAAGCAAGGAAGCAUCGACGGUGAGUGAAGGAGGCGAGGCAGGGGUCUCCUCAGAUCUCCGCGCUGCAUCAGUAACAGAGUAACUCUGCUCCACUGUGGAAAUGGACGCUGGCGUUAGGAGCUUCUUUAGUCUGCUGCUAAUCACACACUUUAGCAGAGCCCAGAAAAUCAGUGAUGACUCCAUCAACACCCCCCACCCUCCUGUGCUGUUCAGCGUCAGCCCCCAAUCCUACAUCAGCUUCCUUCUGCUGGGCCUGACCGUCGUCGUGUUCGGCGGCGUCUAUCUCUGGAUCCUCAGAUACGUCUGCAUCGGCUGCUGCCAGCCCAUCACAGUGGGCGUUGAAUCAGAAGCCCUGGCAGGGAUGGUGUGAAGUCAUCAGCCCCUGUCUGAUUGAGUUGGGCUGUUACCAAGUCACACAGGACAUGUACCUCGGUUUUACAGGUAAAAGACUUGGCCUAUCCGACUUGUCAUCAAUUUUGCAAAAGAAAGUAGGUGUCAGGGAAAAUAACUAAGUGUGUAGUUAUUUGUGCUCCCAUAUAAGUUUUUUUUUUUUUUCAAGUGCGGUUCCAGAGUGCUCAGUGACAGUGUCAAUGCUGGAAAAUAAGAAAGUAGGAGAAAAGUAGCUCUUUUGCUCUUACUUCUACACCCUGCUUACCCGAUAUCUGGCAAACAUCUGUUGGACACUGCCUGAAAAAUCGCUAAAAAGCUACUGAGCAGUGAACGUGAGACACAACUGUAAAGCUGGGUGGCAGAAAUUUAAGAAAAAGUUCAGCUAAUAAGCUGAUAAAAUGCUUUGUAUGUUUGCUUUAGGGUUUUCUUUGUAGUUUAUUGACUGUUUUAUUUCGAAACCCUUUUUUCAUGGUUUCUUUUCUUACUUCCUGCCUUUCUCCUUCACAAGUGGGUUUUGUGUGUAACAAUUAGCCAUUUAGUGUAUUUAUAAUGGCGUCCCCCUUUUCUGCUGUCAAGUUAGUUUGUGUCUAGUUUUAUUUGUUUUGUUCCUGGGUAUCUGUCUCAGCUUCAGCAUUAUGUUAAAAACAAUCCAUAAAAACAUACUACAGUGUUUUGUUUUAAAACAAAGACAUUUUCUAUUAUUUUUUCUCCAUAUAUUUCACUCAACUGGUUAUUUUUGAGCAUUUACACACUUUAUGGGGAAAAAAAUUACCAGUUGAAGUUUUUGUGAAAGUACAGCCUGUUGAUUUCUCUGCUCUUGGCAUUUCUGCUCAGCUGAAUGACACAAAUAAAUCUCCUUUUCUUCUUCAAUCUUGCCUUGUGUGAUUGGGUCCUGUGUAGGGUGACCAGAUCACAGUCUAAAAGUAAAUAUAACAAAAAUAAAGAGAAGCUGAAGUUUG
Molecule: long non-coding RNA, 1683 nt
Organism: Oreochromis niloticus (Nile tilapia)
Lineage: Eukaryota; Metazoa; Chordata; Actinopteri; Cichliformes; Cichlidae
Exons: 3
Source: RefSeq, a predicted model, not a curated record